RNAcentral lists this long non-coding RNA (646 nucleotides) under Nicotiana benthamiana. RNAcentral's name for it is "long non-coding RNA (NBEN_LNC020992)". The record is from RNAcentral. Lineage: Eukaryota; Viridiplantae; Streptophyta; Magnoliopsida; Solanales; Solanaceae.
CCUGAAAUAUGAAAACACACAAAAUUUGAGAUUUGAAAAUUUGAAUUUCAAGACUGAAAUCUGAAAGUAGACAGUUCAUUCUAGAUCAUCGGUAUUCUGAAAAAUAAAAAAAAUAGCAGAAAAUCCCAUAAACGUACUGCUCUAUUAGAUUUUUAUAAGUUCUUCAUCUUCAAUUCAAUUUCUGAGCAUUCUAGUGUGUAAAAAUGAGUUGGAUGUGGGUUUGAAAUCAAAUUUGGGGGUCAAUUUUCCUGUUGAUAGUCAACUGGUCUUCGAAACAAGUUCUAUUCUAUUCUUUUGCUGUUGUGACCUGCCGUUUGACACUGCCAUUUACUCAAUCUGUUGCUGACUCCUCUUUCUUCUUAUUGUAUUUCAAUUUCCAGGUACAUAUCUCCAAUUCUCCUCAAUGUAGCUCUUGAAUUUGAAUUGAAAUAAACAUCAUAACGAAUUGGCUUCAUGUUGUGUGCUUGAUUGAAUCAUUGUAUAUCAAUAGUUGAAUAGAUGUUAAAUGAUAUGCAUUAUUUAAUGAAGUUUGGUUUGGAUUUGUAUUCACAGGAAUGUUGGACUGUACUGGACUGUAUAAUUGUAGAUUAUGUUAGUUCACAAGUUAGCAUUUGAUGUUUGACUGCUGAUGAUUGUAUAAAUGGGC